UAUCUCUGUAGAGUCUGCAUAUCAAUAAGCGGAGGAAAAGAAACUAACUAGGAUUCCCUCAGUAACGGCGAGUGGAAGCGGGAAGAGCUCAAAUUUGAAAUCUUCAAGGUUCUACCUUGACGAAUUGUAGUUUAAAGAAGUGUUUUCUGUUGGAGUUUUGGUAAAAGUUCUUUGGAAUAGGACAUCAUAGAGGGUGAGAAUCCCGUAUUUGACCAUUAUUUCCAGCUUUGUGAUACACUUUCAAAGAGUCGGAUUGUUUGGGAAUGCAGUCCAAAAUGGGUGGUAAAUUUCAUCUAAAGCUAAAUACUGGCGAGAGACCGAUAGCGAACAAGUACCGUGAGGGAAAGAUGAAAAGAACUUUGAAAAGAGAGUUAAACAGUACGUGAAAUUGUCAAAAGGGAAGCGUUUGACACCAGUGUUGUUUUCUCGAAAAUCAAUUAAAAAAUGGCGGGAUUUUGUGUUGUAUUGACUUUAUCAGCUUUCUGCACUCUUUUCCUGUCUUUUUUAAUGCACUUUUCGUUUAACAAGUCAACAUCAAUUUCUUUUGUUGUAAAAGGGUCAUUGGAAGGUGGCUUUCUUUUCGGAGAAAGUGUUUAUAGCCUUUGGCCUCUGCAAUCGGAGAGAUUGAGGUCUGCAGCGUAGAUCCUUCGGGGUUAGAUACAUUUGUGCUAAGUUAUAGCCUUUCAUAGACAACUUGUUGACUAUGAUCAGUCAUGUAGCUUACUCGCUUAUGCUAUUUUACCUACGCUUAGGAUGUUGACGAUCAGCUGAGCGCG
RNAcentral lists this ribosomal RNA (776 nucleotides) under uncultured Neocallimastigales. Its description in RNAcentral is "partial large subunit ribosomal RNA". It matches the Rfam family "Eukaryotic large subunit ribosomal RNA", at positions 24 to 628 of the family's 3401-position model. The record is from RNAcentral. Lineage: Eukaryota; Fungi; Neocallimastigomycota; Neocallimastigomycetes; Neocallimastigales.